RNAcentral lists this ribosomal RNA (484 nucleotides) under uncultured bacterium. RNAcentral's name for it is "partial 16S ribosomal RNA". It matches the Rfam family "Bacterial small subunit ribosomal RNA", at positions 29 to 507 of the family's 1533-position model. The record is from RNAcentral.
AUUGAACGCUGGCGGCAUGCUUUGCACAUGCAAGUCGAACGGCAGCGCGGGCUUCGGCCUGGCGGCGAGUGGCGAACGGGUGAGUAAUACAUCGGAACGUGCCCAGUAGUGGGGGAUAGCUCGGCGAAAGCCGGAUUAAUACCGCAUACGACCUGAGGGUGAAAGCGGGGGAUCUUCGGACCUCGCGCUAUUGGAGCGGCCGAUGGCAGAUUAGCUAGUUGGUGGGGUAAAGGCCUACCAAGGCGACGAUCUGUAGCUGGUCUGAGAGGACGACCAGCCACACUGGGACUGAGACACGGCCCAGACUCCUACGGGAGGCAGCAGUGGGGAAUUUUGGACAAUGGGCGAAAGCCUGAUCCAGCAAUGCCGCGUGUGUGAUGAAGGCCUUCGGGUCGUAAAGCACUUUUGGCGGGAACGAAAAGGACUGUGCCAAUACCACGGUUCGAUGACGGUACCCGCAGAAUAAGCACCGGCUAACUACGUG